CCCUUAGAUGUUCUGGGCCGCACGCGCGCUACACUGACGAAUGCAACGAGCUUAUAACCUUGGCCGAAAGGUCUGGGUAAUCUCCAAAUUUCGUCGUGAUGGGGAUAGAUUAUUGCAAUUAUUAAUCUUCAACGAGGAAUGCCUAGUAAGCGCAAGUCAUCAGCUUGCGUUGAUUACGUCCCUGCCCUUUGUACACACCGCCCGUCGCUCCCACCGAUUGAAUGGUCCGGUGAAAUCUCGGGACGGCGGCUUGGUCGCUUGCGUCCGACUGCUGAAACUUGAUUAAACCAUAUCAUUUAGAGGAAGGUGAAGUCGUAACA
RNAcentral lists this ribosomal RNA (320 nucleotides) under uncultured eukaryote. RNAcentral's name for it is "partial 18S ribosomal RNA". It matches the Rfam family "Eukaryotic small subunit ribosomal RNA", at positions 1470 to 1796 of the family's 1831-position model. The record is from RNAcentral.